RNAcentral lists this ribosomal RNA (380 nucleotides) under Acanthamoeba sp. RAC128. RNAcentral's name for it is "SSU rRNA". It matches the Rfam family "Eukaryotic small subunit ribosomal RNA", at positions 762 to 1096 of the family's 1831-position model. Lineage: Eukaryota; Discosea; Longamoebia; Acanthamoebidae. The record is from RNAcentral.
AAAAUUAGAGUGUUCAAAGCGGGCAGAUAUUUUUCCUGCCACCGAAUACAUUAGCAUGGGAUAAUGGAAUAGGACCCUGACCUCCUAUUUUCAGUUGGUUUUGUUUACAGCGAGGUUAUAUCAGGGUAAUGAUUAAUAGGGAUAGUUGGGGGCAUUAAUAUUUAAUUGUCAGAGAGGUGAAAUUCUUGGAUUUAUGAAAGAUUAACUUCUGCGAAAGCGUUUUGCCAAGGAUGUUUUUCAUUAAUCAAGAACGAAAGUUAGGGGAUCGAAGACGAUCAGAUACCGUCGUAGUCUUAACCAUAAACGAUGCCGACCAGCGAUUAGGAGACGUUGAAUACAAACACCGCUGUUAAUCCUUUCGGGGGUUAAUAGUUGGUGAA